UAGCUAUAAAAUAACUUAUUUUGUAACCACUUUGAGUUACGAUAAUUACUAUAUUAAUUUACAAGAUUAUAGUAACUCCUUACUAAGUGGUUUACUAUAAUAACUAUUCCAAUGUGUUAUAGUAACCUAACUAUCGUAAAUAUAUAUACAUAUUAUCGUAAAUUAGUAUAUAAAAUUAUCGUAAAUGAAGGUGGCUAUAGAAUAUCAUAUUUUGUAGCUA
RNAcentral lists this microRNA precursor (220 nucleotides) under Sorghum bicolor (sorghum). Its description in RNAcentral is "MIR6217 microRNA precursor family". It matches the Rfam family "MIR6217 microRNA precursor family". The record is from Rfam by way of RNAcentral. Lineage: Eukaryota; Viridiplantae; Streptophyta; Magnoliopsida; Poales; Poaceae.